Ciona intestinalis (vase tunicate) is the source of this 959-nucleotide non-coding RNA. NCBI's taxonomy places the organism in Eukaryota, Metazoa, Chordata, Ascidiacea, Phlebobranchia, Cionidae. The record is from RefSeq and is a predicted model, not a curated record.
UAUUACGUCAUAUUACUACUACCUCAUCAAUUACGCCAGGUUACUACUACGUCAUGUUAAUUCUAUACGUGAUCAAAUACCUCCGGUUACGAUACGUCAUCAAAAAAUUGUCCCUACGUAAUUAGUUACGUCACCACGUACGGGGUUUAAUGGGUAUAUCUAUAUAAUGCUAUCAUGUUACUACGUCACUAUGUCCCAUCUUCCCCACCCCACUAUAACGUGAUUUAUUAUUCACCCUUCUCUAUAACAGAGCCAUGAACUACUGGGUUGAAGCAUGCAGUAGCUAACGGACUUUGCCACGGCGUCAGACUCUACGAUAACACAGGCCAUGCUACCGUAUAUACUUACCAACCACAUUGAACAACGGUAUAUGUUCUCCUUGGUAAAUACUCGCAAUAAUCCCAACGGCCAGCAAUGCAACAACAGUCCAAUAAUUCCAAUCCAUUGCCUAAAGUUCCUAAGCUAUGAUAAGGAAAUUACUUUAUGUUCUCGUGCGUGUCCUGAAUUCUCACUACCCUAGUCAAGACAACGACAGUCGUUAUAACACGGGUGUCUGUUUUAUACACCUCGUGCCUUAUUACAAGUUGUGGGUGAUCGUUUAUACGACUGACAAUUUGGACAACCCAAUAGUGACCACCGGGUUGGAGCAAUUGCCGUUAAGUGUCUUGCCCAAGGACACAUACGCCCACAAUGGCAGCACAGCGACGAGCCUCGUGUAUCCAAAGGACAUCAACUUAAAAUACCGCCGCAGUCUAGCUUGGAAUGAAGUUUUAUACCAACUGAAUUUCGGAUCAUAAUUAAAUAACAAACAAUGAACCGGAAACUCCUCGUCAAACCGAUUGUCUCAUAGAUGAUGGAACAAUAGAGGCAUCCGAUACCUGGUUGUGACGUCAUAAAGUAUAGGGCGGAGGAAUAUUUCAAUAAUAAGUUCUAAAUAUUGGCGGAAUUGUUUUUCUGGA